ACUUGGUAGGAUAGCAGGGUGUCUACCUGAAGACUUCGACUUUGGACGUUUUAAGUGGCAAAUGGUUUGAUGCAGCCCUUGGAUGCCCGGAGUGUGUCUGUGAGUGAGUGUGUAUGUGUGUACCAAGCAUUGGGGGAUGGCUGUGUGUCCCACUGAAGGAGACAGGAGAUGUUUUGCUCUACCCUUCCCCAAGCUGCAUUCAGGACCAGCUGGUAAUGUGUGGACCAAGUGCAAAAAUAAAAAUGGCCUCCUCCUUGCUCCAAAUGAUUAGGGAUUUCAGCAGGGGCAGCAGAGAACUGAGCUGAGUUUGGGCCCUGCUGUUUGGAGGGGCUCCAACACCCUGGGGCUGGCCUUGACUACACUGUGAAUGGAGCAGGGAGGGCCUUGUUAUGUCUUUCUUCUUUGGAAAGGUCUCCCUGGCAGGCUGCGCGGAGCUGAGAUGGAAACACAUCGUCCCUUCUCCCUCUCUCCCCCCUCCCUCCCUUGUUUUCUUUUCCUUUCCUUGCAGUGCUAAUUAUCAAAGCCAGGGCCUCGUGCAUUCUUAGAAAGUGAGGUGCUUUUCAAAACUCUACUCUUUUAUCUCUUAAAAGUACAAACAGUGCAGAAUAAUUACAGCGCCCGAACCCCCGGCUAACACCUGGAAGCGCCCUGGAUGGACGGGGAAUGGUCAACAUAGGUUGAUGGUUUCUCAAGUCUCCGUCCAGGGUGUGUCUCUGGAUAUCAAGUGGGGCCUUUGAGUCUUCAAAGUUGAAUUUUCUGCUUUGAAAUGAAACCUUUCCCUAUUCAAGGGUUGGUCUCCCGGUUUCUGGUGUCACAGAGGAGAUUCUAAACUACUUUAAUGGAGAAGAGCCUAGAAGAGCACAGGGUCCCUGUCUGACAUCGAGAGGUCCUUUGUUCCUUUAGAUACUGCUUUCUGGAGAGAGAGUGGGCGGAGCCAGAUGCCUCUCUGCCCUAGAGGCCAAGUGUCUGAGAGUUUACUCCUGGGAGGCAGGGCUCUCACGGGAUAGAUCCUCCAUGUGUCUUUGGGUGUUCGCAAAGAAGAAAGGCUCUGCUGUGUGUGUAACCUCUGCAUUCUGGAAGCCCACAGCUCUGGGGAGGCCAGAAGUUAGGAAGCCGCUCCUCAAAGGUGUGUGUGUGUGUGUGUGUGUGUGUGUGUGUUGCUUUGUUGUGCAGCCUGUGUUGUGUUGGAUGCUCCAAGCCCUUUGAGGCUCUGUUUGCCGUUUGCAGAUGUGGACCCAUGUCCACACAUGCAGAGCAAUAAUCUUUCUCGAGUUUCCCGAUUCCACUCCUGUAAUCCCAGCGCUCCAGAGAUAGAAGCAGGAGAAUCAGGAGUUUAAGGCCAGUCUGGGCUACGUGAGACCCUCUUUCAAAACUAGAAACACAGAAACUGAGAAGGGAAAACCCACAGAAGGCUCACCUGCCUCAGCUUUAAAUCACCUUAAAUGGGUCAUGAUCCCUAGAGGGACCUGACCACUACUCUGCCAGCAUCCAUUUUAAUGAGUGAAGAUUUUGGAUACCCUUCAUCAAUUAACAUUCUCUAAGCGUUACUUGCUGAAUAUUGCUGUCAGAUCGUUCUCUCAAAUGAUGCUCAAUGGUAAGACAUGCAUUUAACUGAGCAUUUGUUGUCAAUGGAGCUGAGAGGUCAGCCUCAGCUCUGGUCCUUGGCAGCCCACAAGCUAAAGUCUCCUUGCCCCUCCGUCUGCCGCGGUGCACACAGGGGCGCAGGCUACCAUUCCCCUGUGCUGUACUGUCUUCGCUCUUCUGCUCUGCAACAUUCCACACGUCGAUGGUGAACAUAGGUGAACAUAUCUGUACAGAGGCGAGAAACCUCCGCCAAAUGUCCUGUGUCUGACAGUCAGCUCACAGCUCCUGGGUUUCUGUAUUUUGUGCAUUUUCCAACAAAGGAAAAAGACGGAAAUCCACUACAUAAUGUGAAAAGAUUGUGUUCUGUAUGUGGUUCGUCAGGAAAUCUUUGCUGUAUGUUUUUGGCAAUGAUGAUUAUAUGUGUAUACAGUAUGUAAGAGGCUAUGCUGUUCAAUGUUGCAUAAACUUAACAGUCUCUAGUCUGAAUAUCUAACUUGUUAUUGUAAAAUGUGAUUUCUCAUCGAGAGAUUAUUUUUCUGUAUGUAUAUGAGAGUAUUUUAGGAAUCUAACUUAAGUGCAUAAACUAUAGAAGAAACUUAAAAUCAUAUCCCAGGAGUAGAAAUGCGUGAUCAGGUCACUUGGGUUCAACCCAUCUAAAUUUUAUUAAAAAACAAAUCC
Molecule: long non-coding RNA, 2262 nt
Filed under: Mus musculus (house mouse)
Lineage: Eukaryota; Metazoa; Chordata; Mammalia; Rodentia; Muridae
Description: long non-coding RNA chr16:91918311-91920573
Source: RNAcentral